UUAUUGUUCAUGUUCAUUGUUCAUAGACAUUGUUCACGUACUGUUAAUAUAUUAUUUUAUUUUAAAAACACAAUAUUUAUCGUAUAAAUACAGUGAACACUGUAUACGGUGUAAGUAUUUGGUGUAGAAAAUGGUGUAGGAAUAACAAUGUUGAAGAAGAAAAAUAUUAUUCUUACACUACAUUCAACAUCUACACCGUAUUUUAUUGUUAACCAUUACGGUGAAUAGUAAAAUAUUAU
RNAcentral lists this long non-coding RNA (239 nucleotides) under Lathyrus oleraceus (garden pea). RNAcentral's name for it is "Pisum sativum (pea) long non-coding RNA (PSAT_LNC039602)". The record is from RNAcentral. Lineage: Eukaryota; Viridiplantae; Streptophyta; Magnoliopsida; Fabales; Fabaceae.